CCUACGGGGGGCAGCAGUGAGGAAUAUUGGUCAAUGGACGCAAGUCUGAACCAGCCAUGCCGCGUGCAGGAUGACGGCUCUAUGAGUUGUAAACUGCUUUUGUACGAGGGUAAACCCCGAUACGUGUAUCGGGUUGAAAGUAUCGUACGAAUAAGGAUCGGCUAACUCCGUGCCAGCAGCCGCGGUAAUACGGAGGAUCCGAGCGUUAUCCGGAUUUAUUGGGUUUAAAGGGUGCGUAGGCGGUUUGAUAAGUUAGAGGUGAAAUGUCGGGGCUCAACCCCGAAACUGCCUCUAAUACUGUUGGA
This 305-nucleotide ribosomal RNA is filed under the name uncultured bacterium. Its description in RNAcentral is "bacterial SSU rRNA". It matches the Rfam family "Bacterial small subunit ribosomal RNA", at positions 338 to 640 of the family's 1533-position model. The record is from RNAcentral.